This 180-nucleotide ribosomal RNA is filed under the name Cynoglossus sinicus. Its description in RNAcentral is "partial 12S ribosomal RNA". The record is from RNAcentral. Lineage: Eukaryota; Metazoa; Chordata; Actinopteri; Pleuronectiformes; Cynoglossidae.
CAAAGGCUUGGUCCUGACUUUACCAUCUGCUCUAGAUUAUAUUUACACAUGCAAGUAUCCGCCCCCCUGUGAGAAUGCCCCACUUCUCGUCUGAGAAUAAGGAGCUGGUAUCAGGCACACAUCUAUCAGUAGCCCACAACACCUUGCUCAGCCACACCCCCAAGGGAUUUCAGCAGUCAA